Molecule: ribosomal RNA, 112 nt
Filed under: Escherichia coli
Lineage: Bacteria; Pseudomonadati; Pseudomonadota; Gammaproteobacteria; Enterobacterales; Enterobacteriaceae
Also listed under: 17 other names
Source: RNAcentral
GCGGCAGUAGCGCGGUGGUCCCACCUGACCCCAUGCCGAACUCAGAAGUGAAACGCCGUAGCGCCGAUGGUAGUGUGGGGUCUCCCCAUGCGAGAGUAGGGAACUGCCAGGC